UCCAAAAGCAAACUUUUUCUCGUCUUCUCUCUUCUCUGCUUCUUCUCAUCUUCUCUCCUCUUUUGGUGUUCGUUUCUUCGUUUUCUUUCUCCUCUGCCGCACCCCACCCCGUGCCCUCUCUCCUUUGCAACCGAUGUUGCCGCCCUCGAAGCGACGGAUUUGGCUCAACACUCAAAUCCGCCAUGGAUCUGAACCCUCAACCAGCCCCUCAGAUUCGCUUUCACACGGCGUCUUCACUCUUCCGUUUCUGAGGGAGCAUUUGGAGAAAGCUUGGUCUGUGGUUGGGGAAAACUUCAUCAAGGCUGUCCAUUGCGACAAGCAGAUGAUCAGAGGCAGCUAAGCAAUGGAGGAGGGGAAGCAGUUGUCAUCACCUCUGCUCUCUCUCUCAACCCCUCUCCUCGAAUAAAGUCAUCAUUCUUCAUUUCUACCACUCUCUUUAAACAUUUUUCCUAAACCUUGCCUUUGCUUCCUCAUGUGAUAGGAAAUUUAAUAUUCAUGGAUUUUGAAAUUCAUUUACUUGUAAAUUAAAAUUGUUUUAUAAAAAUGGAGUCUUUGAAAUUAUCUGCUUGAAAUGGGUGAUAUUAGGAAAAAAUAAGCUAAAAGUGAUUGAAUUGGAAAUUUGGUUUGAGAUUAUUUACAUGAUUCAACUAGGGAUAAGUAAUUUUUCUUUUGUGCCAGCUUAAUUUGUGACUAAUUUGAUACUAGAAGAUUUUGGAAAUUGCUCUUUUGAUUUUAAUUUACCUGACAUUUUUUUAUUUUAUGUUGGAAAUGACAGAUUGUUGUAGAAGAGGUUCUUGAGAGGUGCUCUUCGACCAUUCGGCCGCAUUUUGCUAUCGCAAACAUUGGCAGUGGAUUCAGUUUGAUUGAUGCUUUUUGGCUUGUGGUUUUAGUUUUUGUUCUGGGGUUGGUGGUGGAUUUACUUGGAGCUGCCGUGGAUGCUGAUAAAUCAAAGGUGGUCGGCACUGCACUAUGUUCGAAGAAGCGUCCUACAAAAAAGUUGCACUGACCAAAUUGAGUUCCAAAGCUGCUGCUUGGGGAAAGAUUCUUUCCCAGUGCUCUCAAGUGGGCUUUUCUUCUUUUCCUAUGCUUUCUCUGAUAUUUGGAUUAUUUUGAUGCAAUCGUUGCUCUGUUUAUUUAUUGGAAAAAUCCAUUGAGAGGAAAGAAUUACUUUUUGAUGGCUGUUUGUUACUUGAACGUUUCCGAGUAACAAACAACCAUAA
Molecule: RNA transcript, 1220 nt
Organism: Juglans regia (Persian walnut)
Lineage: Eukaryota; Viridiplantae; Streptophyta; Magnoliopsida; Fagales; Juglandaceae
Exons: 3
Source: RefSeq, a predicted model, not a curated record